RNAcentral lists this ribosomal RNA (406 nucleotides) under uncultured bacterium. Its description in RNAcentral is "partial 16S ribosomal RNA". It matches the Rfam family "Bacterial small subunit ribosomal RNA", at positions 30 to 526 of the family's 1533-position model. The record is from RNAcentral.
AUUGAACGCUGGCGGCAGGCCUAACACAUGCAAGUCGAACGAGUGGCGGACGGGUGAGUAAUGUCUGGAAAACUGCCCGAUGGAGGGGGAUAACUACUGGCAACGGUAGCUAAUCCCGCAAACCCUCGUAUGUGCCCAGAUGGGAUUAGCUAGUAGGUGGGGUAACGGCGCACCUAGGCGACGAUCCCUAGCUGGUCUGAGCGGAUGACCAGACACACGGGACCUGAGACACAGUCCAGACUCCUACGGGAGGCAGCAGUGGGGAAUCUUGCACAAUGGGCGCAAGCCUGAUGCAGCCAUGCGGAGUGUGUGAAGAAGGCCUUCGGGUUGUAAAGUACUUUAAGCGAGGAGGAGUUACUCGCAGAAGAUGCACCGGCUAACUCCGUGCCAGCAGCCGCGGUAAUUC